GACCUCAUGAGGGCGAUCUGGUUGUAACACCUAUCAUCCCACUGAUCGCCAGGGUGGAUUCCGCUGAUCUGGCUGGCUAGGCGGGUGUCCCUUUCUUCCCUCAAGUGCCAUGUGCGUCCCUCCUGAGGUUACGUACUUGGUUGAAGAGGAUGACCAUCCCCAGUUAAGGAGGACAGGUGUUUGGUCCAGGGUAUAGGACUAGCUGCGCUCCCCUGCUAGAACUUCCAAACAAGCUCUCAAGAUUCACAUUUUUUCUUUUGAGGUGAGUACAAUAAUAACAGAUGACCACACAGUCUAAUAAGAAAUAUAAUUA
Molecule: small nuclear RNA, 313 nt
Filed under: Bos grunniens (domestic yak)
Lineage: Eukaryota; Metazoa; Chordata; Mammalia; Artiodactyla; Bovidae
Also listed under: 1 other name
Description: 7SK RNA
Rfam family: 7SK RNA
About the family: 7SK was discovered as an abundant small nuclear RNA in the mid-70s but a possible function has only recently been suggested. Two independent studies have found that 7SK RNA binds the CDK9/cyclin T complex (known as elongation factor P-TEFb).
Source: Rfam by way of RNAcentral